GGGUACGUAAUAAUUAGAUUUAUGAUAGAUUUUGCAAAGAUUUAUAGGAUUCGUUUUGUAAUCCGUACCUU
Molecule: transfer RNA, 71 nt
Filed under: Ogmocotyle sikae
Lineage: Eukaryota; Metazoa; Platyhelminthes; Trematoda; Plagiorchiida; Notocotylidae
Description: tRNA-Cys
Source: RNAcentral